UCAGUAACACGUGGACAAUCUGCCCUAUCGUGGUGAAUAAUCUCGGGAAACUGAGGGUAAUACACCAUAGGCCUCCAGCACUGGAAUGUCUGGAGACCCAAAGCUCCGGCGCGAUAGGAUGAGUCUGCGGAUGAUUAGCUAGUAGGCGGUGUAAUGGACCACCUAGGCUAUAAUCAUUAAGGGUCUUGAGAGAGAUAGCCCUGAGACGGAAUCUGAGACACUAUUCCGAGCCUUACGGGGUGCAGCAGGCGCGAAAACUUUGCAAUACACGAAAGUGUGACAAGGGGAUUCCAAGUGUGCAUAUACCAUAUGCACUUUUUCGAAGUUUAAAACGCUUUGGGAAUAAGGGGUGGGCAAGACUAGUGCCAGCCGCCGCGGUAAAACUAGCAUCUCGAGUGGCAGCCACAAUUACUGGGCUUAAAGCGUCCGUAGCUCGUUCAGAAAGUCCCCGGUGAAAUCCUAUGGCUUAACCAUAGGGCUUGCCAGGGAAACUCCUGGACUUGAAGGCAGGAGAGGUCAGGGGUACGUCCGGGGUAGGGGCGAAAUCCUAUAAUCCUAGACGGACCAACAGUGGCGAAGGCGCCUGACAUGAAUGCGCUUGACAGUGAGGGACGAGAGCCAGGGUCGCGAAACGGAUUAGAUACCCGUGUAGUCCUGGCCGUAAACGAUGUUGACU
RNAcentral lists this ribosomal RNA (676 nucleotides) under uncultured archaeon. Its description in RNAcentral is "bacterial SSU rRNA". It matches the Rfam family "Archaeal small subunit ribosomal RNA", at positions 90 to 768 of the family's 1478-position model. The record is from RNAcentral.